Molecule: ribosomal RNA, 250 nt
Filed under: uncultured archaeon
Lineage: Archaea
Description: partial 16S ribosomal RNA
Rfam family: Eukaryotic small subunit ribosomal RNA
Source: RNAcentral
UUCCAGCUCCAAUAGCGUAUAUUAAAGUUGUUGCAGUUAAAACGCUCGUAGUCCACCAUUACAAAUAGCCCGUUGGUCUGGAUGAAAAUCCAGGACUGGAGGGGUGUUUGAUUUUGAGGGAGAUAGAAUCACGAUUCUACGCUCCCUUAGGUUACUGUGAGGAAAUUAGAGUGUUUAAGGCAGGCAGUUGCUUGAAUACGUUAGCAUGGAAUAACAAGACAGGGAUGUUUGGUCUUGUUGGUUUGACGAA